GGGGCCGUAGCUCAGUUGGUAGAGCGCGUCGUUCGCAAUGACGAGGUCAGGGGUUCGACUCCCCUCGGCUCCACCA
RNAcentral lists this transfer RNA (76 nucleotides) under Caulobacter sp. RNAcentral's name for it is "tRNA-Ala". It matches the Rfam family "tRNA". Rfam says of the family: Transfer RNA (tRNA) molecules are approximately 80 nucleotides in length. Their secondary structure includes four short double-helical elements and three loops (D, anti-codon, and T loops). RNAcentral also lists the same sequence under 192 other names. The record is from RNAcentral. Lineage: Bacteria; Pseudomonadati; Pseudomonadota; Alphaproteobacteria; Caulobacterales; Caulobacteraceae.